AAGUGAAAUGAUGGCAAACAUCUUUCGGGACUGACCUGAAAUGAAGAGAAUAUUCAUUGCUGAUCACUU
Pipistrellus kuhlii (Kuhl's pipistrelle) is the source of this 69-nucleotide small nucleolar RNA. RefSeq annotates it as small nucleolar RNA SNORD2. NCBI's taxonomy places the organism in Eukaryota, Metazoa, Chordata, Mammalia, Chiroptera, Vespertilionidae. The transcript has a single exon. The record is from RefSeq and is a predicted model, not a curated record.